GACCAAGGAGUCUAGCAUGUGCGCGAGUCAUUGGGACACAACUAAACCUAAAGGCGCAAUGAAAGUGAAGGUUCGCCUUGCGCGGACCAAGGGAAGAUGGGCGGUCGACGACAGUCGCCGCUCCGCACUCCCGGGGCGUCUCGUUCUCAUCGCGAGAAGAGGCGCACCAAGAGCGUACACGCUGGGACCCGAAAGAUGGUGAACUAUGCCUGGUCAGGACGAAGUCAGGGGAAACCCUGAUGGAGGUCCGUAGCGAUUCUGACGUGCAAAUCGAUCGUCGGAACUGGGUAUAGGGGCGAAAGACUAAUCGAACCAUCUAGUAGCUGGUUCCCUCCGAAGUUUCCCUCAGGAUAGCUGGCGCUCGUUUCGCACGAGUCUCAUCCGGUAAAGCGAAUGAUUAGAGGCAUUGGGGUCGAAACGGCCUCAACCUAUUCUCAAACUUUAAAUGGGUGAGAUCUCCGGCUUGCUCGAACUAUUGAAGCCGUGAGACACGGAUCAGAGUGCCAAGUGGGCCAUUUUUGGUAAGCAGAACUGGCGCUGUGGGAUGAACCAAACGCCGAGUUAAAGCGCCUAAAUCGACGCUUAUGGGAUACCAUGAAAGGCGUUGGUAACUUAAGACAGCAGGACGGUGGCCAUGGAAGUCGGAAUCCG
RNAcentral lists this ribosomal RNA (651 nucleotides) under Chaetosoma scaritides. Its description in RNAcentral is "partial 28S large subunit ribosomal RNA". It matches the Rfam family "Eukaryotic large subunit ribosomal RNA", at positions 664 to 1270 of the family's 3401-position model. The record is from RNAcentral. Lineage: Eukaryota; Metazoa; Arthropoda; Insecta; Coleoptera; Chaetosomatidae.